Molecule: non-coding RNA, 4500 nt
Organism: Cinara cedri
Lineage: Eukaryota; Metazoa; Arthropoda; Insecta; Hemiptera; Aphididae
Source: the annotation of a GenBank genome assembly
AGACAGGAGUAUGUACCUAUUAUAAAAUAUAAUAAUUUUCUUAAUAAUAACCCUGAAAAUCGUAAGUAUAUAAUAUAGAAACAAUUAAUUUUUAUACAGCGCCCUAAAGGCUGAAGUCAAACAUACAAAAAUUUUGUUUUUUCACAAUACAAGUAUAUUAUAAUAUUAAAAAAAAAUAAUUGCUACGUACAAACGUGUUAUUUUUUUUUCGGCGUGUGAUGCGGUAAUAUGCAAAAGUAAAAAUCAUUAAUCAAAAUUCACAUUUCUGCGUUUAACAAUAUAAUAUUAUUUACCCGAUACAAUUACUCUAUUGUCGCAACGUCUCCGUAAAACAAAUCGCAGAAUAUAACAAAAGAAAUAAAAAAAAAAUCAGCUUUAAAAACUAUUGCCGGUUAUUUGUCGGUUUUGUUGAAUGAAAUCAAUUAAAAUAGCUUAAAAUAGUUAAAUUUAGUGCCUAUAACAUUGAACUCGGCGAUAAAAUCUUUAAUAUGACGUCGUACUAUGUAUAUUAUCAUAGAAAGCUGUGGUGGAUGAAGGAAACGAAAUUUGUAAUUCGAAUUCAAGAGAGUGACAACUAUUUCGUUUCGUCGCCCCCUCAAAUGGGAUGCUGGUAUAAAGGACGCAUAACAGUUAAUUUUAAACGGCUAAAGAUAUAGAAUUUCGGUCUAUAAUGUAAUAUUUAAAAAGAAAUCCAAAUAUAUAUACAUGAAGUAUAGGUAAGUUAAAUUUAACUAUUCCAGAUCAAACAAUUUGAAAACUAUGACUAAAUGGGUAAAUUACUUGUAAUAAAAAAUUAGGUAUUACAUAAUAUUAUGUUUAACAAUUUGACCCUUGAACUCUUAAAAAAAAUUUUAUUUUUAAAAAUUAAAAAAUAAUAGGCAAUAGCACAUUAAUUUUUUUUUUUUAAACGAUUUUAACUUUAAACGCUUAUAACGAAAAAAUAACACGGUACUGAAUUGUUGAUAUGUUUUGGCCUAUGAUUAAUCGACAAGCCUUGUAUAUUUAUAGGGGAGGAAUAAUUCGUAAAGGAAGCAGCUGCAUACUCCUAACUUAACAUAACCCAAUCUGUGUGUAUUAUUUUAUAUUUAUUACUUGUAAGUGCGAAAUAAUAUAAUACCUUGUAGAACAAUAACAAUAGAUAAUAAUAUUAUUAUGUAUGAACACAUUUCCAUUGGCAAAAUCUGUAAAAAUAAAAAAAACAUGUGAGAAACAGAGUUCCGUCACUAGAGUUGAAUUCUCACCCAUUUUCUAUUUUGUAUUGUGUAAAUAUUAUCUGUAAAACUAUAAAUAUUUGAGUACUACAGUUAUAAUAUUUCAAAAAAAAAAAAAAAAAAUUAAAAAUGGUGAAAUUCGAGCAUACAAAUGGAUGGGGUUGAAAGUUGAAACCCUCCAAAAAGGUGGAUUAUCGAUAUGAACGCCAUGCAUAUACAACAUUUCAUCCCCUGUGUGUCGUUUUUGAGGUCUGUAGGGAUAUUCUAAACAAAAAAAGUAUCCGUAUUGAAAUUUAAUCCGACUUUUAUCAUUUCAAACCACCAAUAAAACAACUUCAUAAAUCCCGAUUUUGAGAUCGUAUGGUUCUAAAAAGAGCCACUUAGCGUGUCCAAAAGUAACGGGAGUAAAGAUAAAUUCAUAUUAUAAUGCACAUGUGCAAUAGUUUCAUAUUUUAUCGAGAAAAAUUCAAAAUAAUUUAUCGUCAAUCUAAUUAAGAUAAGUUCAAUAUUAUAUAACACAAUCGAAAUAUUAUUUGUUUGUAAUUUUUUAAGAAAAAAAGACCGAAUUUUCACCACGCUCAGAACGUGCAUUACGAAAAUGCGAAUAAUAUUCUGCAAAAAAAAAAACAGUUAAUUUUUAUUAGAGAAAAAAAAACGUAGUCGAUAACGGAUUUAAAAACGUUUUAUUCCAAAUCCACGAACGUCUGGCGGAUAAAACGUUCUACUAUACGGUUGAUAAUGUUAUUUAUUGUAAUACGGUUGACGUGGUAGUACAUAUAUUUAGAUAAAAACACACUACCCGCGUGACGUAAAUAUCGUCUAAAUCGAAAUAUAUUCACGGCAGACCGUCGUUCAAUUUGUUUAAAAUGACGUCGCCCUUGAUGUUGAUACGAUGAAAGAAAAACCUAUCGAACAACUCACAGGCAAUUUACAAUUUUGAUCGUUAGUUGACGAUGAGUAUCUGUACUCGCCGGAAAUCAAAACUUCUAGCUUCGAGAAAAACACAAGAAUCUACGAGAUUAAUGUAUGACAGAAAAUCGAUUGGCGUGAUCACAGUGGUUUGAUACGCAUGCCCUGCUCAAAUAUUUUGUUUACUCCGUCUAUUAUCGUAGAUAUUCACUUUUUAUUAGCUAACGUUAGCAUUGCUGGUAAUAGUGGAGAACUGCUGAACUAAAACGUGGUACGUUGCGAUCAUGCCAAUCUAUUUUGUCUUGGUAAUUGCAUAUAGCGCGUUUAGUUCAAAUGACGUAACACACAAGAUAUUAUGACCGGUUGGAUUUCCGUGGACAUGCAUUUUUUGUUGUCAGGUGGACCAGAGUACACGUUUUCAGUCAGUUUCCCACACUUGAACCCUUGCGGUGCCUGAUAACGAUGCGCAAUAAACCUCACAUUUUCUUCUUAAAUGGAGAAACUUUGUAUAAUUUUUUGUUGCUGCGGUUUUUCAAAAUAAAAUGAAGAAACGUAUAUUGCGUAAUUCCAUGUUUAUAUCGCCAUAUUAAUAAAUCUCCCCCCCCCCAUAAAAUAGUAGUUGAAUUUUAUCACACUUGAAAGCACAUCUUUUAAUUUUAAUUUUAAAUCAUAUUUGUUCAAUAAACUUUUCUGGUGUGGUUGUAUUUCGGGUAAUUUUUGAUGUGGACAUAUGUUUUGGUACUAUUUAGAAUUAUAUUACACCAAUAUUAUGGUGCUAAAAGUAGGUUAAAAUGUAAGUUUUCUUGAGCAAAGGUUAACGUUUUGAAAAUUGGUUAAAAAUAUUGUAUAGUAUUUUAUUACCGAAAGGUAAUAAAACCUUUUGCGAAAAAUUGUUUUGAAAAUUCUAUUUCAAUCUGUGAUUCCAUCCGGCUAAGAUAUUUUGUGUUGGCAAUCGGGUGAAACAUCACUGUGACACUGUUCACUAUACAGAUUCUUAUUCGUUUUAAUUAGAUCACCGAUUUGUAUGUAUCGGUACAUAUUUUUUUCUUUUUCAUAUAGGCUUUUCGAUUUUCGUCAAUAAUCUUUACGAACUAUACUCAUAUUAGAAGUCAUCUACGAAGCCUUAUUUUGUAUGUUUGACCGUAUAAUUGCAUAUGUCCAUGGUUAUUGCAGAUUACGAUGAAAAUGAUGCAUUAUCACGAACAAAUUGUGUCAAUUGUUACCGGAGUGACAAUACACAAGAGAUUUACCAAGAAAUAAUAAAACACCACGUUUUUAUGAUUAAUGUUAAUUAUAAUAAUAAGGUUACGUUACUUUGUGCCAAAUAUUUGUGUAGUGUUAGAAAACUGUAUGUAUUAAAAUUAGAGCAGUUAGAGUGAGGAGAAAUUUUAAAUCCCUGCAACAUCUUUGUUUUUGUAAAUAUUUUUUUAAAUGAUUUUUCCUGGGCUCUUUGGCAUUUUCAUGUGCUAAAAGUCCCGAAGCUUGAUCAUAAUAAUAAUGUAUAUAUAUAUAUAAAAAAAAAACUAACAAUAUGAAAAAACGAACAUUUAUCGCUCGCGUCGACGACAAACAUUAACGAACAAAUAACUGGUGUAAUAUAACAAUAUGUACAGUGCUCGGACUAAGAACUAUAUUAAAACAUAGGCUUGAAUUUGGGGUCGAGUUGUUCGAUAAUCAAGUCUCGGAAUAUCGAGUAUGGUAAAAAUUGCAUUAAAAAAAGAAAUAAUAAAACCGGUCAAGUGAUGCGAGUUAGACUCAGUGGCGCGUGGAACUGAGAAUUAUGUCUCCUCCGCAAUCGUCUUAAAUCGGCUUAAAAAUACAACUAUUAGUACGUUAUAUUUCAGCCAAGUAAGAAGGAAAAUUUUGAUUUCGAGCCGAAAAAUUAGCUAAAAUACUGUAUGCGAUUUAUUCAUCAUUGAUGUUUACUAAAUUUCCUUCCGUUGAAAGUUCCUGGGCACGCCACUGAUUAGACUCACGCACGUUCUGCAAGUAUACGUAUAUAAUACGUCACACUUUAUUAACUAUAAAAAUAUAGCAAUUAUGGAAUCGUGAUCAGGAACGAUCGCGAAUCAGUGUUGCUAAACUCGCAAAACACAAACACCCAAGUUUGUGUAUGGUUUACCGUAAAAAAAAAAAAAAAAUCAAGAACGUAUAACUAUGACUUAUAACAUACUAUGCACACAUACCCGACUUUUCGAAACCCGAUUUUCAGACACCAUUAGCGUGUUUUAAAAACGUAAGAACCCCUCUCGAGUAUCUAAGUUCGAAAAUGAAAACACUUCGGUACACGCGGUUCAAAGUACGCAGCUGUAUCGACCAUCUUCGGAUUUUAUAUUUUUCGGUUUUAGUCCGACAUUAGAAAAACCGUGGGCACCGCCCG